UACAGAGGUCUCAAGCGUUGUUCGGAAUCACUGGGCGUAAAGGGUGCGUAGGUGGCGUGGCAAGUCAGAUGUGAAAGCCCGGGGCUCAACCUCGGAAUAGCAUCCGAUACUACCAUGCUAGAGUACUGAAGAGGUGACUAGAAUUCUCGGUGUAGCAGUGAAAUGCGUAGAUAUCGAGAGGAAUACCAACGGCGAAGGCAGGUCACUGGGCAGUUACUGACACUGAGGCACGAAGGCCAGGGGAGCAAACGGG
RNAcentral lists this ribosomal RNA (253 nucleotides) under uncultured bacterium. RNAcentral describes it as "partial 16S ribosomal RNA". It matches the Rfam family "Bacterial small subunit ribosomal RNA", at positions 524 to 776 of the family's 1533-position model. The record is from RNAcentral.